CACUACGGAGAGCGAAGGGGACUCCCCGCGGAUCCGCUAUACUUGCGUCCGCUAGAGUAUAUCAAUCGCUUGCCCCAGCACAGCUGUCAUUCUUCUCUACAGAAGAGCUUCUCCUCAUCAACUGGGGAUGAUUACAGUUCUUCCUUAAAAAGCCUACUUGAUGUGAAGACAAUGAGGAUGAAGACCUUUAUGGUGAUCCACUUCCACUUAAUAGAUGGCUGCUCUUUUUCUAAAGAGGUUAACACUACAAACUGUAAAGUCUGAAAAUAGUUGCAUUAGAUGUUUUGGUAAACACAUCCUGCAAAAGACAGCACCAGCACAGUUGUCCCCUAUUGCUUCUGCCCCAAGACUCUCCUUCCUAAUUCAUGCAAAAGCCUUUAGUACCGCUGAAGACACCCAGAAUGAAGGAAAAAAGACAAAAAAGAAUAAAACAGCUUUUAGUAACGUUGGAAGAAAAAUUAGUCAGCGAGUUAUUCACUUAUUUGAUGAGAAGGGCAAUGAUUUGGGAAACAUGCACCGAGCAAAUGUGAUUAGACUUAUGGAUGAGCGAGACCUGCGACUGGUUCAAAGGAACACCAGCACAGAACCUGCAGAGUAUCAGCUCAUGACAGGAUUGCAGAUCCUCCAGGAGCGGCAGAGGCUGAGGGAGAUGGAGAAGGCGAACCCCAAAACUGGACCAACCCUGAGAAAGGAACUGAUUUUGUCUUCAAAUAUUGGACAACAUGAUUUGGACACAAAGACUAAACAGAUUCAGCAGUGGAUUAAGAAAAAACACCUAGUCCAGAUUACCAUAAAGAA
This 798-nucleotide small RNA is filed under the name Pan troglodytes (chimpanzee). Its description in RNAcentral is "processed transcript". Lineage: Eukaryota; Metazoa; Chordata; Mammalia; Primates; Hominidae. The record is from RNAcentral.